ACGAACGCUGGCGGCGUGCUUAACACAUGCAAGUCGAACGGAAAGGCCCCUUUGGGGGUACUCGAGUGGCGAACGGGUGAGUAACACGUGAGUAACCUGCCCUUGACUUCGGGAUAACUUCAGGAAACUGGGGCUAAUACCGGAUAGGAAUCCUUGCUGCAUGGUGGGGGUUGGAAAGCUUCGGCGGUUUUGGAUGGACUCGCGGCUUAUCAGCUUGUUGGUGGGGUAGUGGCUUACCAAGGCUUUGACGGGUAGCCGGCCUGAGAGGGCGACCGGCCACAUUGGGACUGAGAUACGGCCCAGACUCCUACGGGAGGCAGCAGUGGGGAAUAUUGCACAAUGGGCGGAAGCCUGAUGCAGCAACGCCGCGUGCGGGAUGACGGCCUUCGGGUUGUAAACCGCUUUCAGCAGGGGCGAAGCUUGUGGUGACGGUACCUGCAGAAGAAGCACCGGCGAACUACGU
This 463-nucleotide ribosomal RNA is filed under the name uncultured bacterium. RNAcentral's name for it is "partial 16S ribosomal RNA". It matches the Rfam family "Bacterial small subunit ribosomal RNA", at positions 29 to 506 of the family's 1533-position model. The record is from RNAcentral.